UGGGGAAUUUUGGACAAUGGGGGCAACCCUGAUCCAGCCAUUCCGCGUGAGUGAAGAAGGCCUUCGGGUUGUAAAGCUCUUUCGGCCGGGAAGAAAUCGCAUGGGUUAAUACCCUGUGUGGAUGACGGUACCGGAAUAAGAAGCACCGGCUAACUACGUGCCAGCAGCCGCGGUAAUACGUAGGGUGCGAGCGUUAAUCGGAAUUACUGGGCGUAAAGCGUGCGCAGGCGGUUUAGUAAGACAGUCGUGAAAUCCCCGGGCUCAACCUGGGAACUGCGCUUGUGACUGCUAGGCUAGAGUACGGCAGAGGGGGGGUGGAAUUCCAAGUGUAGCAGUGAAAUGCGUAGAGAUGUGGAGGAACACCGAUGGCGAAGGCAGCCCCCUGGGCCGAUACUGACGCUCAUGCACGAAAGCGUGGGUAGCAAACA
Molecule: ribosomal RNA, 428 nt
Filed under: uncultured bacterium
Lineage: Bacteria
Description: bacterial SSU rRNA
Rfam family: Bacterial small subunit ribosomal RNA
Source: RNAcentral